AUUGAACGCUGGCGGCAGGCCUAACACAUGCCAGUCGAGCGGAUGAAGGGAGCUUGCUCCUGGAUUCAGCGGCGGACGGGUGAGUAAUGCCUAGGAAUCUGCCUGGUAGUGGGGGAUAACGUCCGGAAAUGGGCGCUAAUACCGCAUACGUCCUGAGGGAGAAAGUGGGGGAUCUUCGGACCUCACGCUAUCAGAUGAGCCUAGGUCGGAUUAGCUAGUUGGUGGGGUAAAGGCCUACCAAGGCGACGAUCCGUAACUGGUCUGAGAGGAUGAUCAGUCACACUGGAACUGAGACACGGUCCAGACUCCUACGGGAGGCAGCAGUGGGGAAUAUUGGACAAUGGGCGAAAGCCUGAUCCAGCCAUGCCGCGUGUGUGAAGAAGGUCUUCGGAUUGUAAAGCACUUUAAGUUGGGAGGAAGGGCAGUAAGUUAAUACCUUGCUGUUUUGACGGUACCAACAGAAUAAGCACCGGCUAACUUCGUG
RNAcentral lists this ribosomal RNA (484 nucleotides) under uncultured bacterium. RNAcentral's name for it is "partial 16S ribosomal RNA". It matches the Rfam family "Bacterial small subunit ribosomal RNA", at positions 30 to 507 of the family's 1533-position model. The record is from RNAcentral.